GAUGAAGAACGUAGCGAAAUGCGAUAAGUAAUGUGAAUUGCAGAAUUCAGUGAAUCAUCGAAUCUUUGAACGCACAUUGCGCCCGCCAGUAUUCUGGCGGGCAUGCCUGUCUGAGCGUCAUUUCAACCCUCAUGCCCCUAGGGCGUGGUGUUGGGGAUCGGCCAAAGCCCGCGAGGGACGGCCGGCCCCUAAAUCUAGUGGCGGACCCGUCGUGGCCUCCUCUGUGAAGUAGUGAUAUUCCGCAUCGGAGAGCGAUGAGCCCCUGCCGUUAAACCCCCAACUUUCCAAGGUUGACCUCAGAUCAGGUAGGAAUACCCGCUGAACUUAAGCAUAUCAAUAAGCGGAGGA
This 348-nucleotide unclassified non-coding RNA is filed under the name soil metagenome. Its description in RNAcentral is "partial contains 5.8S ribosomal RNA, internal transcribed spacer 2, and large subunit ribosomal RNA". The stretch from base 1 to 120 matches the Rfam family "5.8S ribosomal RNA", at positions 35 to 154 of the family's 154-position model. The record is from RNAcentral.